This 319-nucleotide ribosomal RNA is filed under the name uncultured eukaryote. Its description in RNAcentral is "partial 18S ribosomal RNA". It matches the Rfam family "Eukaryotic small subunit ribosomal RNA", at positions 1470 to 1796 of the family's 1831-position model. The record is from RNAcentral.
CCCUUAGAUGUUCUGGGCUGCACGCACGCUACACUGAUGCAUCCAACAAGUUUUUUCCUUGUUCGAGAGGACUAGGUAAUCUUUUGAGAAUGCAUCGUGAUGGGGAUAGAUUAUUGCAAUUAUUAAUCUUCAACGAGGAAUUCCUAGUAAGCGCGAGUCAUCAGCUCGUGCUGAUUACGUCCCUGCCCUUUGUACACACCGCCCGUCGCUGCAACUGAUUGGGUGACCUGGUGAACAUCUUGGACCGGUCCACUCAAUUUCGAGAGGACUGGAAAAGGCCGUAAAUCAGGUACAUCUAGAAAUUGCAAAAGUCGUAACA